Molecule: long non-coding RNA, 493 nt
Organism: Asparagus officinalis (garden asparagus)
Lineage: Eukaryota; Viridiplantae; Streptophyta; Magnoliopsida; Asparagales; Asparagaceae
Exons: 2
Source: RefSeq, a predicted model, not a curated record
UAAACCCGAAUUCUCUUUAUCCCUCUGCAGCUCCGCUCUCCACAAAAAAAGUGAAAAACCCUAGCGACGCUCCUUCUUCCGCCGCAUCUGACUAUCUGAGCAUCUCUCCCUCGCUCGCACAGUCGCACUCUGGAGGCUGGAGCUCCUCCCACCCCGAUCCCACCUCUGGCGCUCUUCCCUCUCUGAUCCCCCUCUUCCUCCCAUCACCGCUCAGAGCUCAGUCCUCUCGGCUCUCCCUCUCCCGCUCUCCGAUAGUCCGAUAUCCUCAAAAUCCCUAGCAAGUAGCAAAGUUUGGGGGGGACCGUGGGAAGAGGAAGGUCAACCAUCUUUUGCAGAUUACUCGAGUACCUCUUCCACUUGAUCUAAGGCUUCAAAUUAGGUUGUAUUGUUCCGAAUCUUUUGACUUCUUUCAAUUUGAUUGUAAUAUUUUUUGUUUUAUUAUAGAAAUGCCUCCAAGAAAGUAUCCAUCUGGAUAUGAUAAACGCAAGAAAAA